Molecule: long non-coding RNA, 296 nt
Organism: Zophobas morio
Lineage: Eukaryota; Metazoa; Arthropoda; Insecta; Coleoptera; Tenebrionidae
Exons: 3
Source: RefSeq, a predicted model, not a curated record
UCGAGUGCAUGCAGCAGUGAACUUUAGCCAAGUAUGUUAAAUGACUAAAAGUGUUAAUCCUUUGCACGUAUACAAAAGAAUCCUUAAACUACAUCUAACUUUACCGAAGGGUUUACGGCGAUUCGGUAAUGAAUUUGUUCGCUCAGAGUUUAAACAGCAUAAGCAGGCAAAGGAUGAACAGUUAAAAGAAUUUCUUGGAACUUGGAAAAGAUACUUGGAAAAUUUGCAGUUUGAUGUCGACCUUUACAAGUCAAAUCUUAAGAAUAACUAAAUUUUGAUAUUUGUAGAGAACUGAG